GCUGAGGUGGCGAAAUUGGCAGACGCAACGGCUUUAGGAGCCGUCGAGAGUAAUCUCAUGGGAGUUCAAAUCUCCCCCUCAGCA
Molecule: transfer RNA, 84 nt
Filed under: Candidatus Liptonbacteria bacterium RIFCSPLOWO2_01_FULL_45_15
Lineage: Bacteria; Candidatus Liptoniibacteriota
Also listed under: 1 other name
Description: tRNA-Leu
Rfam family: tRNA
About the family: Transfer RNA (tRNA) molecules are approximately 80 nucleotides in length. Their secondary structure includes four short double-helical elements and three loops (D, anti-codon, and T loops).
Source: RNAcentral